This is a long non-coding RNA of Armigeres subalbatus, 493 nucleotides long. RefSeq lists it as uncharacterized. The record is from RefSeq and is a predicted model, not a curated record. NCBI's taxonomy places the organism in Eukaryota, Metazoa, Arthropoda, Insecta, Diptera, Culicidae. The transcript has 3 exons.
UCCCAUCAACAAGUGUGCCCCGGCCAUAAGUCAGUGCGGGGUAUUAGCUUCCAUUAGCGCUGCAGCCGCUCGCUUGCCGGUCGCCCCCGUUAGUGUGUCUUCCAGUGAUUGCUACCGUUGAGUUGAGCCCCCGAUCUUGCGGCCAGGAUACUACGGAUAGAACGGUGCGUCAACAUCUCCAUCGUAUAUAGGAUUGGCCGUCGCCGCUACAUAGACAAGGAUUCAUUUGGUUUGAGUGGUUUUAUAUUCGUCAAGAAUCUAAAGAUGAAGUCAUUCGUGAGUGUUUUGCUGAAGGUGCUGGCCUGCAUUCUACUUCCGGGUGGAUUGAGCGCCCAGAAAGAUAGCAACGGUUUCGACGAAGGCCCCCCUUGAGUGCAUGUGCCGUCCCUGCACCGGAAUCGAGGAUGCCAACGUAAUUCCACAGGAGUUGGCUGCGUUCGCUGAGGAUGGCUCACUGGCCGGUUACUUUCAGAAAUCUUAAUUCAAAGCUGCC